GCGAACGGACGAGAAGCUUGCUUCUCUGAUGUUAGCGGCGGACGGGUGAGUAACACGUGGAUAACCUACCUAUAAGACUGGGAUAACUUCGGGAAACCGGAGCUAAUACCAGAUAAUAUUUUGAACCGCAUGGUUCAAAAGUGAAAGACGGUCUUGCUGUCACUUAUAGAUGGAUCCGCGCUGCAUUAGCUAGUUGGUAAGGUAACGGCUUACCAAGGCAACGAUGCAUAGCCGACCUGUGAGGGUGAUCGGCCACACUGGAACUGAGACACGGUCCAGACUCCUACGGGAGGCAGCAGUAGGGAAUCUUCCGCAAUGGGCGAAAGCCUGACGGAGCAACGCCGCGUGAGUGAUGAAGGUCUUCGGAUCGUAAAACUCUGUUAUUAGGGAAGAACAUAUGUGUAAGUAACUGUGCACAUCUUGACGGUACCUAAUCAGAAAGCCACGGCUAACUACGUGCCAGCAGCCGCGGUAAUACGUAGGUGGCAAGCGUUAUCCGGAAUUAUUGGGCGUAAAGCGCGCGUAGGCGGUUUUUUAAGUCUGAUGUGAAAGCCCACGGCUCAACCGUGGAGGGUCAUUGGAAACUGGAAAACUUGAGUGCAGAAGAGGAAAGUGGAAUUCCAUGUGUAGCGGUGAAAUGCGCAGAGAUAUGGAGGAACACCAGUGGCGAAGGCGACUUUCUGGUCUGUAACUGACGCUGAUGUGCAAAGCGUGGGGAUCAAACAGGAUUA
This 731-nucleotide ribosomal RNA is filed under the name uncultured Staphylococcus sp. Its description in RNAcentral is "bacterial SSU rRNA". It matches the Rfam family "Bacterial small subunit ribosomal RNA", at positions 66 to 780 of the family's 1533-position model. The record is from RNAcentral. Lineage: Bacteria; Bacillati; Bacillota; Bacilli; Caryophanales; Staphylococcaceae.